AGACAGCAGUCGCCACGGGAAUACAGAGGGUGCGAGCGUUAAUCGGAUUUACUGGGCGUAAAGCGUGCGUAGGCGGCUUCUUAAGUCGGAUGUGAAAUCCCGGAGCUUAACUUAGGAAUUGCAUUCGAUACUGGGAAGCUAGAGUAUGGGAGAGGAUGGUAGAAUUCCAGGUGUAGCGGUGAAAUGCGUAGAGAUCUGGAGGAAUACCGAUGGCGAAGGCAGCCAUCUGGCCUAAUACUGACGCUGAGGUACGAAAGCAUGGGGAGCAAACAGGAUUAGAUACCCCAGUAGUCCCUGUCUCUUAUAC
Molecule: ribosomal RNA, 307 nt
Filed under: uncultured bacterium
Lineage: Bacteria
Description: partial 16S ribosomal RNA
Rfam family: Bacterial small subunit ribosomal RNA
Source: RNAcentral